CAGUAGUCACGAGUUUGAUCAUGGCUCAGAACGAACGCUGGCGGCAUGCCUAACACAUGCAAGUCGAACGAGACCUUCGGGUCUAGUGGCGCACGGGUGCGUAACGCGUGGGAAUCUGCCCUUGGUUCGGAAUAACAGCGAGAAAUUGCUGCUAAUACCGGAUAAUGACGUAAGUCCAAAGAUUUAUCGCCAAGGGAUGAGCCCGCGUAGGAUUAGCUAGUUGGUGUGGUAAAGGCGCACCAAGGCGACGAUCCUUAGCUGGUCUGAGAGGAUGAUCAGCCACACUGGGACUGAGACACGGCCCAGACUCCUACGGGAGGCAGCAGUGGGGAAUAUUGGACAAUGGGCGAAAGCCUGAUCCAGCAAUGCCGCGUGAGUGAUGAAGGCCUUAGGGUUGUAAAGCUCUUUUACCCGGGAUGAUAAUGACAGUACCGGGAGAAUAAGCUCCGGCUAACUCCGUG
Molecule: ribosomal RNA, 461 nt
Filed under: uncultured bacterium
Lineage: Bacteria
Description: bacterial SSU rRNA
Rfam family: Bacterial small subunit ribosomal RNA
Source: RNAcentral